CCUACGGGUGGCAGCAGUGGGGGAUAUUGCACAAUGGGGGAAACCCUGAUGCAGCGACGCCGCGUGUGGGAAGACGGUCCUCUGGAUUGUAAACCACUGUCCCCCGGGACGAAGAUGACGGUACCUGGGGAGGAAGCUCCGGCUAACUACGUGCCAGCAGCCGCGGUAAUACGUAGGGCGCGAGCGUUGUCCGGAAUUACUGGGUGUAAGGGGAGCGUAGGCGGGGAUGCAAGUUGGGUGUCAAAACUACCGGCUAAACUGGGAGUCGCACUCAAAACUGCAGCUCUUGAGUGAAGUAGAGGCAGGCGGAAUUCCUAGUGUAGCGGUGAAAUGCGUAGAUAUUAGGAGGAACACCAGUGGCGAAGGCGGCCUGCUGGGCUUGUACUGACGCUGAGGCUCGAAAGUGUGGGGAGCAAACAGGAUUAGAUACCCGGGUAGUC
This 440-nucleotide ribosomal RNA is filed under the name uncultured bacterium. RNAcentral's name for it is "partial 16S ribosomal RNA". It matches the Rfam family "Bacterial small subunit ribosomal RNA", at positions 338 to 795 of the family's 1533-position model. The record is from RNAcentral.